RNAcentral lists this long non-coding RNA (11745 nucleotides) under Ananas comosus (pineapple). RNAcentral describes it as "long non-coding RNA (ACOM_LNC012133)". The record is from RNAcentral. Lineage: Eukaryota; Viridiplantae; Streptophyta; Magnoliopsida; Poales; Bromeliaceae.
UUUUGCCCACUCGGACCUAGUGGAAAAAUUGGCGAAGUCAGCGGCCGAACCCACUGGAAACUAUGGACGAUAGUUCUCACCCCACUUUGUUACAGGGCCUAGUACGAGCACGCUGGGUGAGGACCGCGUCAAGGACAUAUCGCCCGAGUAGUAGUACAUAGUAGCUUCCUAUUUUGCAUUAGCACACCUAUGUACAUGAGAGACUUUUGUAGGUGAGGAUUUGGAGAGCUAUUGAUGUAUAUAUUUGAUGGUCCUUAGAGAACCACAUAUCCAUUUUGAGAAGAUGAAAGUGUAAUUGAAUGCAAAUGAUGUAAUAGUUAGUAAAACUCUCUUUAUUUCACUUGUGUAUGCUUGUGAAUUUUUGCUCUUAGUAUGUUGGCACUGUUUGUGCCCUUGUGGUCGUGUAUGUAUGAAUUUCUAUUUUCUGGGCAAAUUCUUAUACAUGAUCGGGUUGUUGGCCUAGGACGGACAGGGGAGGUGCUGUCCGUUCGGCGUCUGUUCGACGCACUCGAGUCGUGCCAAAUUGAUAGCGGUCUCGGGGCGUGACAGAUAUAAAUGGUAUCAGAGCAAGCUAAGAGUAAGUAAAGAGAGAGUCUAGGAUUGACCUAGGAGACCUUAGGAAGGUAAACCCUAAGGAUAUAGGUGCGUGAGUGGAACGUGAACCUAUAAUGGUGGCGGAAGUGAUUCGAUUGGGUCGAAGUUGGCGAUAUGUCUCUAGUAGUUGCUAGAGAUGAAUUCAAGUGGUAUUAGUUCUUGACUUGAGGUGAUUGUGUCGGCGGCCGACGACAUGAUGCCGAGAGCCUAGAAUGAGUACACUCGUAUGCUUUCGCCCGAUUUCGUUGUUGAUCGUUUGAGUCGUAGUCGCCGUAAUGUUGACGGGUUAAGAUAAUUAACCAAGUGCUUGCGUUUCAGGAGCUAAUGGCCCCGAAGAGACGCUACACGCGUAGAUCGGCUCCGGCACCGCCUCCCGAGAUGCCUGGGCAAGUUGAACCUCCACGAGCCCCAGAGUCUCCUGUGGUGCUUGCACAAGCCGGGCCGAGUGAGAUGCAGGAGUUGCGGGCGCAAGUGACCGCACUUGCGGGUCAAUUUGGGCUGCUCCGAGAGUUGAUAGAGCGGUAGUUAGCAGCGACGACUGCGAUGGCGACAGACGGUCGUGUUCCACCCGCACCCUCGGCGCAUGAGCACGUAGCGGCUGAGGGUGAGGGUAUAGUGGCGAUUCCGGUGGCGGCGCAUCCCUCGUCGAUGGUCGUUCCUCCUGCGGCGUCAGGAUAAGCGACACCCGAUGCGGCGGCCGAGGAAGCGGAGAAGGAGCGCGCAUUGGCGGCUCUAAUCAAGUUUAACAAGUUUCAUCCGCCCAUCUUCGAGGUGGAGAAAGUGGAGCCGGCGAUGGUCGAGUCGUUGGUCGACUCGAUGAAGAUGCUCUUCGAGGACCUCUCCACCUUUGAGAGGGACAAGGUGUACCUCGCCACACAUUGUUUGGAGAAGACGGCGAAGGUGUGGUGGAAGAGAGUGAAGCGAGAUAGGCCUUCGGAACUUCCACCGAUUGUAAGGGAAGUGAAUUCUUGAAAUCCGAGGAUUUGACUUCGUUUAGAAUCGACUGAUUGUCGAGUACGUAGGCUUCGGAAAGUCCGAAGAUGAUUAAAAUGCAUAAAGUACAUUAAGGAAGAGUCCGCGAGAGCAGCAGUGCAAAUUCUGCACUGGAACAGAAUUGCUCUCGGGGACCGGUCCCUGGCAGGGAGGGACCGGUCCCUGGCAGGGAGGGACCGGUCCCCUCGGCUGGGCUGGCGGGGAUCCUUAAGGCAACCGGUCUCUGGUAGGGAGGGACCGGUCCCUCCUUGCCAGAGACCGGUCCCCGAACGUUAACCCAGCGAGAAGAGGCUGAAAUUUGGCUAAGUCCCGAAAAUACCACUCUCGAAAACCGGUCUCUCAGGCAAGGACCGGUCUCCCGGGGACCGGUCUCUCAAGCAGGGACCGGUUCCCGAACGCGAAAUUUUCUCUGCCCGAGAGGGAGGCUCUUGGGGACCGGUCUCCCCGACCUGGGACCGGUCCCUCACUGCGAAGAUGCUUAGUGAGGGCUGCUUCAGAGGAUGAAAAGUUGAGGGGGCUAUCUGCAAAAUAGCCUUUAUGAGGGCUGGGGACCCCUCUCUCUCUCCCAUUUGUCUCAUUUGCCCUCUCUUUCUCUCCCUCUCUCUCUCUAGAAUGAAAGGAAAAGAAGAAGAGAAGAAGGAGAAGAAGAGAAAGAAGAAGAGGAGAAAGAAGAAGGAGAAGACCAAGAAGAGGAAGAAGAUCAUCUUCUUCCUUCUCUCCCUCAAGCUAGGGCAAGCUUGGAUCUUGGUAUUGAGGUAAGCCUCAACCCUUCAAUGGUGGAUUUUGGGAGCUAGGGUUUUGUUGCUUAAAAAUGGUUCGAAUGGAACCUAUUGAAGCUAAGGAGAUGGUUCGAGCUCGAAUUUGAGGCUUGCACCAUGGAUUUCCCCAUUGUUGCUAACCCAGGGCACGGAUUUGGGAUUUUUGGAAAUCUAGGGUUUUGAUCUCGUUUAACGGGUCGCAAACCUAAUUACUAGGUCUAUAAACGCGUCGGCGAAGACGGUUCGUCGAUCCGACGAGCGAGUGCGAAGAUAUCGCCGAAACAAGUGCUUGAGGGUUCGUUUUGUCCGAGGAGUCGAGGCAACGACAUAAGAUCGCGACGACGAGCUUGCUAGUUACGCGGCGCUACUAAAGGUGGGGGAGUGCCAUCCCGAAGUAGUUGAAUUGCUCCCUAUGUCUGAGUUAUUAUGUUGAUCAAUUGCAUAUUGAACAUAUGGCAUAUAAGGAACUAAGUUAUUAAUAUCUAUUUUUGCAUGCUAGUGUUAAUGUGGCUCAGUUGAUAUAGCACUAGAACCUAGUGUGCUCGAGGUAGUAUGAUACAGUUUAACCCUAUAGGUGUUGGAUGUACAUGUAGCAAUGAAAACCUAGUACAAUGUAGACUAGGGUAUUGAGAACUUGUCAAGAGAACGAGUGGCACCUAGUUAACAAUGAACACAAACGAGUGGCAUGUAGUUAACAUUGAACAUGAGAACCCUAGUGUAGUCAAAAUACUAUGAGCUUGGGUAUUAGGAUACUUGAUUCUGUGAUGAGACCAACCUUAGUUGGUAGGACUAGUUCGUGAGUUCAGAUUAAGCUCACAUAGCCUGUCUGCGCUUGUAGGGGUCGCUCCCCACAGGUUGUGCACUCCGGAGUAUUUGUCACUCGAGGGGCAGUCGCCAUGCGCUGCCCGGACAGUCAGUGAAUCUGUCUGCAGGCUGUCUCAGGGAAUAGUUCAGCGAGGCUUUUCCCUACGAGGCUUAUAAACGUGAGAUUGAAAAUGAGAUACCGGAUUGAUCGAAUGAUCGGGUAAAGUAAUGAACAACCCUUAUUGUUGGGCAUAGUAGUAUGGUAGCUAUGAAUUUCACUAUGAAUGACAUGCAUGCAUAAUUCUAGAUUGAGGCAUAGUUAGAUGCUUAUACUUAUACUUGCUCAUUUCUCGUUAAUGCUUUCAAUUACAUAUAUCUAUCUACCUGCAUAUCUAUCUGUGCCUGCUUAGACCUAGUGGGAAGAUCGGCAGAGUCGGCGGCCGAACCCACUGGGAACUAUUCGUAGUUCUCAUCCCACUUUGUUGCAGGUCCGAGUUCGAGUAGCCCUGGUGAGGAUCGCGGCAAGGGCGUAGCGCCCUAGGGGUAUUAGUAGAGGUUUACUUUCCUUUAUGCAUUAGUUACACCCUAUACUUAUGUUGACAGUAGAUGUUGUAUAGGGUGAGAUUUUGAGAGUGAUUGUACAUAUCUGUUUUGGAAGACUGUAAAAGAUGAAUUAAAUGUAUUAAGUUGAAUGAAUUUAAUAGUUAAGUAUAUCUCUCUUUUAUCACUUGUAUGCUUUACUCGUGUUGCUUGCUCUCGGUUGGUAUGCACUGUUUGUGCUUCAUUACUGUUAUUUGAUCAUGUAUGUAAUCAAGUGUAUUUUCUGGGAGCUUGUGUACAUGAUCUCGUCGUUUGAGCCUUGGGCGGACAGGGGAGUUACUGUUCGUUCGGCGGUCCAUUCGCCGCGCCCGAACCGGACCAAAUUGGUAGCGGGCUUGGGGCGGUGGCGUGACACCGAUACUGUAGGAAGAGUUCAAGAGGGCGAUGUUCGCCAACUACUUCCCCGAUACUCAGAAGCGGAAGCUGCAAGAGAAGUUCCGCAAGUUACGAUAGGUGGACCGCACUGUGGCGAACUAUGAGUAAGAGUUUUCCCACAUAAUUGACUGUGUCCCUGAUAUGGUGAAGGAUGACAGGGAUAGAGCCGACUAGUUCUUAAGGGGACUUCGGCCGGGAAUCCACAAGGCCGUACAGAUAUUCAAGCUCGCGACCUUUGCGGAGGUAUUCGAUCGGGCGCUGUGGGCAGAGCACGGAGAUGCCCAUGUGCGCGAGGAGCGUGAGCUUUUGGCCGAGUCCAAGGAUAAAGGCAAAAAACGACAAGGUGGUGGUUCGGGGGGACAGACGAGUUCCAAGAAGCCCCCGAAGUAUCCGCGGACUCAGUACAUGGGCCGUGGAGUGCGGCGGUGUGUCAUUUGCGGUGGAGACCACCAACCUUCGUGUUGCGAUCAGCGCCAAGGCAAGUGCUUCAAAUGCGGGCAACCAGGGCACUUCAUACGUGAUUGCUCGGGAGGUGGAGCCUCGCCUGCCCUAUCUAUUGCAUCGGGGCCGGUGAUUCCAGCUCAUUAUGGAGGAGCUCCACCGACGGCUGCGUCGGCGGGACGCGUGAUGGCGCCGCGUCAGUUAGAGGCGACGCGAUCGACACCGAGCGGGCGGGUGUUCGCCGCUCAAGCUCAAGUGGAGGAACCUGCCGAGCCAGAAGAGCGCCAUGUGGUGGCAGGUAUGGUUUUAAUUAGCGGAGUCCGCUCCCGAGCUAUGUUUGAUACUGGUGCUACCCAUUCAUUCAUAAGUAGGCCGUUUGCACAAAUGCAUGGUAUCGAGUUUCAAUUUAGUAAGAGCACUUGACGUGUGUUUGGGCCUGGGCGGGACUUUCUGAUCCGCAAGAAGUGUUUGACGUGCCCAGUACAAAUAGGCGAUUGGAUAAUGCUGAUUUGCAUGUUGGUGCUCCAGAAGCUGAAAGAGUACAAUGUCAUAUUGGGCAUGGAUUGGCUCUCGAAGUACCAUGUAACGAUUGACUGUAAGAGCAAGGUGCUUACCUUUCAUGAGCCCGGACAAGAGGAGUUCACGUAUCGGGCUUGUCGAAGCUCGUGCUUCGUCGUGACGGUGUCAGCGACGAGAGCGAGGAAGUUGGUUAAUAGCGGUUGCACAGCCUAUUUAGCGACCGUUGUGGAGGUGGACCGAGUGGCUCCGACCUUAGAGGAGUUGUCGGUAGUACGGGAGUUCCCAGAUAUAUUUCCCGCGGAGUUGCCGGGGAUACAGCCGGAUCGGAAGAUCGAGUUUGUUAUAGACUUGAUUCCCGAUACCGCGCCGAUCUCGAAGGCCCCGUAUAGAAUGGCGCCGGCGGAACUAAGGGAGUUGAGGAAUCAAUUGCAUGACCUCCUCGACAAGCAAUUUAUCCGGCCGAGCGUAUCACCGUGAGGAGCCCCCGUGUUGUUUGUGCGGAAGAAGGACGGAUCGCUGCGACUCUGUGUGGAUUAUUGUGAAUUAAACAGAGUCACGAUCAAGAAUAAGUAUCCAGUUUCCCGAAUCGACAACUUAUUUGAUCAGUUGCAGGGGUCGUGCGUGUAUUCAAAGAUAGACUUGUAAUCCGGUUAUCACCAGUUGAAGAUCAAGUCGGAAGACAUUAAGAAAACCACAUUCCGUACGCGGUAUGGACACUAUGAAUUCACGGUCAUGCCUUUUGGGCUUACGAAUGCCCCUGCGGCGUUCAUGGAUCUGAUGAACCGUGUCUUCAAGGAGUUUUUGGACCGAUUUGUCGUGGUCUUCAUAGACGGCAUAUUGGUCUAUUCUCGCAAUGACGAGGAGCAUGCCGAGCAUUUGAGAUUAGUGCUUCAAGUCCUUUGGGAGAAGAAGCUAUAUGCUAAGCUAAAGAAGUGUGACUUUUGGCUUCGAGAAGUCGCAUUUCUAGGACAUGUGAUUUCCGAGGGUGGAGUCUCUGUAGACCCGAGGCAAUCAAGGAUUGGCCACGCCUAACCAAUGUCACGGAGGUUCGAAGCUUCGUGGGCUUGGCGGGCUAUUAUAGACGGUUUGUGGAGUGCUUUUCGAAGAUAGUAAUUCCACUUACCCGUCUGACUAGAAAGGGCACCAAGUUCGUUUGGAGUUACGAGUGUGACCGGAGUUUCAAAGAGUUGAAGGAGAGAUUAAUUUCGACUCCGGUACUCGCCCUACCGGUGCAAGGUAAAGAUUAUGUGGUCUAUAGCGACGCAUCCUAUCUGGGUUUGGAGUGUGUCUUGAUAUAGGGCGGGAAGGUAAUCACGUAUGCGUCCCGUCAGCUAAAGAGCUAUGAAAAGAACUACCCCAUUUAUGACUUAGAGCUGGCGGCGGUGAUCUUUGCUUUAAAGCUAUGGAGGCACUAUUUAUAUGGUGCACAUUGCGAGAUCUACACCGACCAUAAAAACUUAAAAUAUUUGUUUACCCAGAAGGAGCUGAAUAUGCGGCAUCGGCGGUGGUUGGAACUGCUAAAGGAUUAUGAUGUUGACAUCUUUUACCACCCCGGCAAGGCGAACGUAGUCGCUGAUGCGCUUAGUAGAAAGUCGACAGAGAACCUCGCAGUGUGGGUUACAAAUCAAACGCCCGGAAAGAAAUAGGGCGAAUGGAUCUCGAGGUUGUAGCUCCGGAGGUUCCGACUAAGUUGUCAAUGCUUGUUGUCCAACUGACCUUAUUGGAGAGGAUCAAGAGUUUGCAACCUGCGGACCCGAGUCUCCAAAAGGUGCGGUGCAACGUCAAGGAGGGACGUGGCGGAGAUUUCAGUAUAGACGCCGGUGGUGCACUUCCGUUUCGAAACAGGUGGUGUGUACCUGAGAACGAGGAGCUUCGCAAGCUAAUUCUGCAAGAAGCACAUUAGUCUCCUUAUAGUCUUCACCCGGGUGGCACCAAGAUGUACCAUAACCUAAAGAUGUAGUAUUAGUUGCCGGGAAUGAAGGCUGAUAUUGGGCGCUUUGUGGCGAAGUGCUUAAUAUGCCAGCAAGUGAAAGCGGAACACUGAUUUCCAGCGGAAAAGCUUUAAAGUUUAUAUAUCCCCGUUUGAAAAUGGGAAGAUGUGUCGAUGGACUUCGUGGUCGGUUUGCCUCGCUCAACGGGGGGCCACGAUGCAAUUUAGGUGGUUGUGGAUUAAUUGACGAAGUCGGCACAUUUCCUACCGAUUCACACCACUUGGGCAGGUGACAAGCUGGCGCAGGUAUACCUUGAUGAGAUUGUGAGAUUGCACGGGGUACCGAAGUCAAUUGUGUCGGUUCGAGACCCCGGUUCACUUCGCAUUUCUGGAAGAGCCUGCAAGAAGCACUUGGCACACGGCUGGAUUUUAGUACCGCAUUUCAUCCUCAGACAGAUGGGCAAAUCGAGAGGACUAUUAGACUCUGGAGGAUAUGUUGCAGGCGUGUGUCAUUGAUUACAAGGAAAGUUGGUGUAAGCACCUACCGAUGGCCGAGUUCGCCUACAACAACAAUUAUCAUGCUAGCGUGGGGAUGACACCAUCUGAGGCUCUUUAUGGGCUGAAGUGCCGAUCUCCCAUUCACUGGAGCGAUGUGGGCGAACGAGCAGAAUUCAGCCCUAACGUUUUGCAGGAGGCGGAAGAGAAGGUCUGUCUUGCUCACAAAAGAUUACUCAUGGCGCAGUCUCGACAGAAGAGCUAUUCGGAUAAGCGCCGGCGGGACUUAGAAUUUACAGUGGGCGACCAAGUCUUUUUGAAGGUGUAGCCCAUGCGAGGUGUGAAGCGGUUCGGGGUGCGGGGGAAGUUGAGUCCCUGAUACAUUGGACCCUACAAGGUAUUGGAACGGAUUGGAACGGUGGCUUACCGGCUCGCGUUGCCGCCGAAGCUUGCGGAUGUGCAUAACAUAUUCCAUGUCUCCAAUCUUCGUAAGUAUAUUCACGACCCCGAUCAUGCCUUGUUGUACGAGCCGCCGGAACUUCAGGAAGAUAUGAGUUACAAGGAGUUUUCGAUGAUGAUCUUAGCUCGAGAGGUGCGAAAACUGAGAAAUUGCGAGAUUCCUUAUGUAAAGAUUCGGUGGAGCAAUCAUGAUGAUCGCGAGGCCACCUGGGAACUCGAGGAUCUGAUGAGAAAGCAUCAUCCUCACUUGUUUGAGGGAUAAGGUAUGAGUUUGAGUUUGAGUUGGAAAUUGGAUUAGUUUUGAGAACGAAACUCCUUUUUAGGAGGGGAGGAUGUAAGGAAGUGAAUUCUCGAAAUCCGAGAGUUGGACUUCGUCCAGAAUCGACUAAUUGUCGAGUGGGUAGGCUUCGGAAAAGCCGAAGGUGUCCAAAACACAAAAAGUGCAUUGGAGUUGGAUCCGCGAGAGUAAACAGUGCAAAAUCUACACUUGGCAGAUUCUACUCUCGGGGACCGGUCCCUAGAGGAAGAGACCGGUCCCUGUAAGCUGAAAGUAUGGCAGAAGACUCUGUGCGCGAUAUUUGCUCUCAGGGUCCGGUCCCUCGGGCGAGGACCGGUCCCUGAAGGUCCGGUCUCUCAGUCGAUGACCGAUCCCCGUACGCGCAACCUGCGAAAAGCAGGAAAAUUUGGCUAAAUCUGAGAGUCAGCUCUCGGGGACCGGUCCCUGGCGGGACAGACCAGUCCCCGUACGCGUAAUGGCUGGCAGACAGCCUCCGCUCGCAAAAGCUGCUCUCGGGGACCAGUCCCUCUAGUGACAGGCCGGUCCCCGAGUGCGAAAACUGCCCAGGUAGAGCAGUUUGAGAGAGGCAAAGUGGAGGGGUUUGAGUGCAAUUGUUACAUUAGUUGAGGGGUAUAGGAGGGAUUACACUCUCUCUCCCCCUCAUUUCCCCACCCAACACACACACUCCUUUCUCUCUCUAAGCUCUCUCUUUUCUCUUGAAGCAAAGAAGAAGAAGAAGAAGGAGAGGAAGAAAGGAAAGGAGAAGAAGGUGAAGAAGAAGGUGAAGCAAGCAAGGAGAAGGCCUUGGUCAUCUUCCUCUUUCUCCUCACACCAUUGGAGCUAGCUUAAAGGUAAGCUUUUGAGCUCAAUAAUGGUAGAAACCUAAGGUUUGGAUUUAAAGCUCUAGAAAUGGUUUGAUUAGUAUUCUAGCAUGCUUAAUAGAUACUCAAAGCUAGAAUCUAGGGAUUUAUUGGAGCUUUUGCAUAGAUGCAACCUAGGGCACCCAAAAUAGGGUUUUGCUGAAUAGAUGGGUUUGAUCUUAUUUGAUGACAACUAAACCUAAUUGCUAGGUGUCUAAACGCAUUGGCGAAGACGGAUUGAGCAUUCGUCAAGUCGUUAUAAAGAUGUCAGCAAAACAAGGCCGAGCAAGCUUCGUUUCCUUCUUGGAGGCGGAGAUUUCGUUGUAACGAGUGCCGAGUAGCAUUUUUAGGACCUCCACAUCGUCGAACGGUGGGUGGUGUCAUCUCGAAGCAACCGGGUUCCUCUCUAUGUCUUAGUACUUCAUGAUUUGCAUCUCUUGCAUGUUGCAUUAUAGGAUUGCAUGUUAUUCCUUUCCUUAUGCUUGCUAAUGAUAUCGAUGUAUGAGUUGAAUGCAUGAUGAUGGUUAGAUGAGGAUUGGGUUUUGACAUUUAAUUCUAUAGUGCCGAGAAAAGAGAUGAACUCGAUGAUUGUUAAAGACAUAAUGAGUGGCAUUGACUGUUAAAUAAAUAAGAACGAGUGGCAUAUAAUAUAGUGUACGGUGACACUAGUGACAUGCGAACUUAGGGAUAGGUGGAUUCCCUAGUGACGACUCGUUGAACAAAGGUCUAUAAGAUAUGGAUCCUGAGGAUCUAAAAGGUAAGUAACACCUAGAGGGGGGUGAAUAGGUGUAAAUACGGCAAACUCGAAAAUCUCGAUGCAAAUAAAAUAAAGUAGCGGAAAAUAAAACAGCACACCGAGAAUUUAACGUGGGAAAACUCCAAUUCGGAGUGAAAAACCCACGGGACCGAUCACGCGAAGAAAAUCCACUAAGAAAACUUGAGUACAAGUGAUUUUGACAAAAAUACACGACUCAAUUUACCGAUUUCUUGUUAAUGGUGAUCUUCGCCGGUCCUCGAUCGAUAGGAAUCCACCAAUCGACCUUGCUGUAACUCCUCGCAGCGUCAACGCCUCAACUCCUUGAAGUGUCCACCGAAUCCUCGGCUUCACGCGAGAUCCACGCGUCGAACCUCCUUCCGGAGCUUGUAGAAUCGAAGAUUUGUGAUGAUUUAACCUUUGAAUACCAUAAGCUAUGAGGGUUCACCUUUAAUCAAAAAUCUACUUGAUUCUCGUAUGAGUUCUCGAGUAAAAACGAAGAAUCAAGCCGAUUGUUGAUUGUUAGAAACUCGUUAUGUGAAUCGACGCAUUGAAACGAAAAAACAAGUUUCUAGGGUUUAGAAUCAGUAAAUAUUCAAAGCCUUAAACUUUUAGAUGACCCACAUAGCUUAUUUAUAUGUUUAGAAGACUUAGAAGUAGACUAGGAUUGCAAAAAGUCCUUUUUAAAAACCUGUGUCGUCCUCAGAGACCGGUCUUCUCGAGGAGACCGGUCUGUGAGAGACCGGUCUCUCAAGUGAGGAACCGGUCCCUCACUGCGUGACCAAAAUCACAACGUUCGGGAACCGGUCUCUCAAGCUUGAGACCGGUCCCUCGCUGUGCGACAGAAAUACCAAGGUUCGGGAACCGGUCUCUCAUCUCAGGGGACCGGUUGCAUCAAUGUUCAUGCAGUGAGAACCUUAGGGGAACCGGUCUCUUGACCUCAGGGACCGGUCCCUGAACACAGAAAAGUUCAGUAAAGUAUUUUUAAAGCAAUCUAAGCCUUCUGAACUUUUUCUAAACAAAUAUCUUCAUCACAAAUGAUCUUUUCUUCAUACCUUAGGUGCCGAACUUUACGAGUGAGUCUUUUUCCUUCAAUUUAGAUCUUUUCUUCAAUCUUCCGCAAUCAACUCUUCAAGACUCCAUUCAGCAUUACGAAAUCCGCCAACCUAUAAAAUCCUUAACAAGGUCAUAGUGUAGUCAAGUACUCACACAUGGACAUUGGGAUAGGUGGAUUCCCAAGUGACUUGUAACCCUAGAGUCGAUGGGGUAUCCUCGAGUUGAGAGGAUUGAUCAUACUCACAGUCUGUUCAUACUUGUGGUGGUCGCACCACCUAGGUCUUCGUGCACUCCGGAGUUUAGUGCGAGAGGGGUAGAGUUGAUGCCCUACAGGCGGCCUCGGGUUUGAGAGCAAGGUGUGUCUCCUUACCAUACGAGGUUUGAGGUGAGUCGUAGGCGAACCCAAGUGGAUCGCCAAGGAUUGAUUGAACAUAUUGUUAUUUGAACAUUUGCUUGUUGGACAUGGAUAGUGGACAUAGUAGCAUGUUAGUAAACCCUUUACUAUAUGACGCAGGCAUAUAUUACUGAUGAUUGGGCAUAAUAGCAUAGUUUUCCUACUAUUGCAUUUACAGUUUUUCAUAACUAUCUAUCUAUCUACUUUUGUCCACUCGGACCUAGUGAAAAAAUCGGCGGAGUCGGCGGCCGAACCCACUGGAAACUAUGGACAAUAGUUCUCACCCCACUUUGUUGCAGGGCCUAGUACGAGCACGCCGGGCGAGGACCGCGGCAAGGGCAUAGCGCCCGAGCAGUAGUACAUAGUAGCUUCCUAUUUUGCAUUAGCACACUUAUGGAUAUGAGAGACUUUUGUAGGUGAGGAUUUGGAGAGCUAU